AACGAACGCUGGCGGCAUGCCUAACACAUGCAAGUCGAACGAGACCUUCGGGUCUAGUUGCGCACGGGUGCGUAACGCGUGGGAACCUGCCCUUAGGUUCGGAAUCCCUUCCCGCUAGGGUUGCUAAUACCGGAUAAUGUCUUCGGACCAAAGAUUUAUCGCCUUUGGAUGGGCCUGCGUUGGAUUAGCUAGUUGGUAGGGUAAAAGCCUAUCAAGGCGACGAUCCAUAGCUGGUCUGAGAGGAUGAUCAGCCACACUGGGACUGAGACACGGCCCAGAAUCCUACGGGAGGAAGCAGUGGGGAAUAUUGGAAAAUGGGCGAAAGCCUGAACCAGCAAUGACGCGUGAGUGAUGAAGGCAUUAGGGUAGUAAAGCUCUUUUAACCGGGAUGAUAAUGACAGUACCGGGAGAAUAAGCUCCGGCUAACUCCGUG
Molecule: ribosomal RNA, 433 nt
Filed under: uncultured bacterium
Lineage: Bacteria
Description: partial 16S ribosomal RNA
Rfam family: Bacterial small subunit ribosomal RNA
Source: RNAcentral